This 72-nucleotide transfer RNA is filed under the name Baudoinia panamericana UAMH 10762. Its description in RNAcentral is "tRNA-Cys (GCA) (tRNA-Cys-GCA-1-1)". It matches the Rfam family "tRNA". Rfam says of the family: Transfer RNA (tRNA) molecules are approximately 80 nucleotides in length. Their secondary structure includes four short double-helical elements and three loops (D, anti-codon, and T loops). The record is from RNAcentral. Lineage: Eukaryota; Fungi; Ascomycota; Dothideomycetes; Mycosphaerellales; Teratosphaeriaceae.
GCUCUCUUAGCUCAGUGGUAGAGCGUGGGAUUGCAGAUCCUAAGGUCUGUCGUUCGAUCCGGCAAGGGAGCU